Molecule: ribosomal RNA, 61 nt
Filed under: Anaerococcus hydrogenalis
Lineage: Bacteria; Bacillati; Bacillota; Tissierellia; Tissierellales; Peptoniphilaceae
Description: partial 23S ribosomal RNA
Source: RNAcentral
GAUAGGUCCAAGGUGUAAGUGCAGUAAUGUAUUAAGCUAAUGGAUACUAAACUUUAUAUCU